UAGAUGAGGAGGGCGUUUCCCAUGGGUUUCCGGUUGCCGGCUUCUUCCGCCCAAAUGAACGCGUGUGCUGCCUGCCCUGUCCGGGCCUUCCGCCCUGUGCCGUGCGUUUCCCAAAUCCCGGCUCCAAUUCCUUCCGAGCAAGCGCGCCGCAGGAAUUUGCACCAAUGGUGAUCCAUCACUAUGAUCCCAGUUCCAUUUGCCGCGAUUGUGCUCAAGCGGCUGUUUGCCCGACGCAAAUUGCUGGGCGUAGGCAGUGCGCCUCUGUUGGUAGAGAGCGCCGCCGCCAACCUGCUCGCUGGAAUGCCUCGCCGAAUGGUCAUGGCUCAUAAGGGAUUUUGGGGCGAGGGGGCCUGGCUGCUACGGCCGUUGCUACCACGCAGGCAGCAAUGGAACAAGCUACGGCCUUUUGGCAUCACACUGCGAGUUGCUGCUUCUACUAUUUCAAACACAUGGAAUGCCCUCCUCUAGGUGUGGACAAGCCAAGCCCAUGACCCAAACAGAUCGCUCGCUUUUCGCAGAAGCAAGGAUUUGGAGGUCCGUUCGAACAUGUUGUACUUUCUCCUUUACCUUUUCCUUUUGUUGAACUUCUUUCUGUAUGCGCACCAGCUAUUAUUUUUCAGUUCUGGAGUUAAGGUGGUACAGCUCCCAGUAUAAACUACUCUUUUAGACUGAAAUAGCAUCACGGCAAAUGAACUGUCGGAAGGAUAUAUUGCUGUGAUAUACUCUAACAUGAACUCCAAGAGGAAUAGAGGAAAAAAAGAAUUCUUGAUCUAUUCGUAGAACUUGAAACAAUUGUGAAGUUGUCCUCGUUUUAGUAAUUCACGAGUAGCAGUAUUUGUUAUAGUGGGAAUACAAAGCAUAUGUUGGUAGAGUAAUAAUUAGAACCCAGGGCAACUUUGCUAAUAGUAAUAACUGAUAUGUCCCACGGAAUUUGCAAAUGUUCUUGUAUCAAUUACCCUGUAUGGAUACAAAUGAUUGAUAUUGUGUGCCUUAUGACCAGAUGACCAUAUGCACUAGGGAGCAAUGAAGUGCCGUGCUGCAAUUUACUUCUUUUUGGUAGAUUAGAUGACAAAUGCUAUAAAUUAUUCCACGAUCAAUAUACCUUAUUGUCUUAUCUGUGGGCACUAACUCGAAACAAUGUGCUUUGACAGCUCAUAUCAAAGAACAGAAGGAAAAGGAUUUAUGUUAGGUCUGAUGCAAUCUUUGGUAAAAGUUGGUUUGUUCUGUACUUGUAUGUACUAGCAUAUACUUUGCAAGUAACUAUGACAAAAGAAGAAAUAACCGUGCCAUUUGAAUCAACUGUGUUGUUACUUUAAUCAGUGCAUCAUCAUUACUGUGAUCGGAUCAACAUGUUAUCUGCUUUAAGAUCAUAAUGUUUUUCAUGUGGCAGCUCCUUCUAUGUUGCAUUACCUGUUGCUUAACAGAGAAGUAAAUCUAAGUUUGUUAUUUGUGGUGCGUUUUUUUAUCUAGGAUUUCUAGACCUAGUUUUCUUCCAUAACUAGCAUGGUAUGAUUGCUCUUUUCCAAAUGGGAUCCUAAUUUUUUUGUAGCCAACUUGCCGUCCUAGAUGAAAGCCUUUCGAUAGUUCAUUGUCAUAAUUCUCUACCUGGUACCCCCAAAAAAUAUAGUUUUGUUAAUUGGUCAACCAAAGUACCAUCUCUAGAAAUAUGGCAUUGUGAGGGAAGGAGAAGAACAAUAACAGAUAAGUUCCUUAACUUGAAACAUAUGAAAAAUCUCUAUCAUCCAGAUCCAUAUAUUCAUCUUUUGUGAGAAAACUCCAACAAAAAUAUCCACUAAAAAGAUCUCAUCUCAAACAGACUAGAUAAAUAAGUGAGGCUUUAAUGGUGGUUUUCAUAUAGAUCUUUGCAAAAACUCUUUAAGUCUUUAGUUCAAUCAUAAUAUGUUUAAUUUAGUUUAUUAAUUGAUCUUUUGUAAGCUUAGAAUCCAAAAUAAAAUGUGCAAAGACAUCUAAAAAGCAACAGAAAAAUAAAAGCGAUUAUAAAAGCCACUGCAAUACAUACUGCCUCUUAUCUUGUUUGGAGUGCUCAGAAGGGCCCCAAAACAAAUCGUCUUCAGUGUUUGAUUUGGAACGACUGGGAGCAUUGGAACUCAUUUGGACAGGGGCAACUGACUUUGAUGGACAGGGGCAACUGCCUUUGAUGGGGAAGAGUGUUGAGGAGGUGGCCAUAGAGAAGGGAGAGCAAAAGAGAAAAUAAGAGGUAGGUGAUAAGGAAAAUUGGAUAGGUGUCUAGUGGUCCGAUAAGCUAGAUCAGCAAAACCAUUUUGAAUUAUUCAAGAGGAUAGUUGUGUGGUUUGAAUUAUUAAGAGGGUAGUUUGUGUAGUUUUAAAUUAGAGGGUUUAAUUGUCUGAUUUUUUUAAGUUAGGAGAGUUAUUGAAACUCGAUCACAAAUUAAAAAAAGGAUUUCCUCUAAAAAAUAAAGGAUCCACUGCCAGUCCGACCGGAGUCUCACCUCAUCUGCUACGACGGUGGCGCACAAAUUCCGCGAAACAUGGGUUGGUCCUUUUGUAAGAGCUGAAUGCAUAAAUCUGUUAGCUUUCAAAAUAAAAUAGUUGAACGAGCACUUUAGGAAUCUCUUCAAAGAGAAAGCCAUAUCAUGGAAAUUCAUUCCUUCACCCACCUUUAAAUUUCCUCCUUUUCUUUUGCAGCAAGAAUGAUCUUGUGGGCUCCCUUGCCCACUUCACGAGCAGGGAUCUUAGCAUAACCUUGCAUCACUUUAUAAUUAUUUUUCUUGUUUUCUGCACCUAAGUGCACAACACUAACAAAACAGUAUAUUUGCAGUUAAGGUGGCCCAAUCUUUACUUUAAAAGAGCUUGAGCCCGUUGGAUCCCCCAAAACUACUGCUGAUGCUUUAAGAUUCCCCAAUCUUUGCAUUCUGCAGUAAAGCAGGCAAAGCAUUGGAUGUUGUUAGCCUACUACAUGGAAAAAUGUGAGGAAAGAGGCUAUUGAAACUUGGUACAGAUCCUUUAAGUUUGAAUGGCUAGCUUUGGUGGCCUUGGAAGAUUCAAAGCGAAAAGCGUGCUCCUUGCAAGAAGGGCAAGCACAAGAAAUGAAAAGCAUGCAAAAGCACAAAGCCUUGCAUUGUACUGGUGUCUGCUGGUUAUCACAACCUGGGCUGUUUUCACCUCUAUCUAUUAACGGUUCAAUUUUGGUUUUUACUGGAGACUGGAAUAGAGGAGGAUGGCAACAAGUGUCUAAAGCAGGGGUUUGGUUCUUGCUGUUGCUCUUAUCCCCUACAUGGGCACUUUAGGUUUGUCUCUUGGGAUAGACGAUGGGCUCUCCCAUCCAAUGACUUUGCCAUGUCAGGGUCUCAGAACCUUCCAUAAGCAGCCUUAGGCAUGCCUCCCUUGUCCCUUUGUGCUUUGGGGCUCGGCGUGGCCUUGGGCUAUAUCUACAGACAGAGCAUUGCUGCGAUUGAUGGUUGUACUAGCGCAGCCAGACUAAUAGAGCCCAGGCAUCAGCAGAAGUUGCAUGUCUCCAACUGAGGAGCAGCAGCAGCAGCAGCGACAUG
This is a long non-coding RNA of Panicum virgatum (switchgrass), 3529 nucleotides long. RefSeq lists it as uncharacterized. The transcript has 3 exons. NCBI's taxonomy places the organism in Eukaryota, Viridiplantae, Streptophyta, Magnoliopsida, Poales, Poaceae. The record is from RefSeq and is a predicted model, not a curated record.